GUGCUGACGAGUGGCGAACGGGUGAGUAAUGCAUCGGAACGUGCCCAAUCGUGGGGGAUAACGCAGCGAAAGCUGUGCUAAUACCGCAUACGAUCUAAGGAUGAAAGCGGGGGACUCAGCAAUGGGCCUCGCGCGAUUGGAGCGGCCGAUGUCAGAUUAGGUAGUUGGUGGGGUAAAGGCUCACCAAGCCAACGAUCUGUAGCUGGUCUGAGAGGACGACCAGCCACACUGGAACUGAGACACGGUCCAGACUCCUACGGGAGGCAGCAGUGGGGAAUUUUGGACAAUGGGCGCAAGCCUGAUCCAGCAAUGCCGCGUGCAGGAAGAAGGCCUUCGGGUUGUAAACUGCUUUUGUACGGAACGAAAAGGCUCUGGUUAAUACCUGGGGCUCAUGACGGUACCGUAAGAAUAAGCACCGGCUAACUACGUGCCAGCAGCCGCGGUAAUACGUAGGGUGCGAGCGUUAAUCGGAAUUACUGGGCGUAAAGCGUGCGCAGGCGGUUUUGUAAGACAGUCGUGAAAUCCCCGGGCUCAACCUGGGAAUGGCGAUUGUGACUGCAAGGCUGGAGUGCGGCAGAGGGGGAUGGAAUUCCGCGUGUAGCAGUGAAAUGCGUAGAUAUGCGGAGGAACACCGAUGGCGAAGGCAAUCCCCUGGGCCUGCACUGACGCUCAUGCACGAAAGCGUGGGGAGCAAACAGGAUUAGAUACCCUGGUAGUCCACGCCCUAAACGAUGUCAACUGGGUUGUUGGGUCUCUUCCUGACUCAGUAACGAAGC
RNAcentral lists this ribosomal RNA (776 nucleotides) under uncultured bacterium. Its description in RNAcentral is "bacterial SSU rRNA". It matches the Rfam family "Bacterial small subunit ribosomal RNA", at positions 85 to 852 of the family's 1533-position model. The record is from RNAcentral.